RNAcentral lists this ribosomal RNA (1612 nucleotides) under Anser fabalis (Taiga bean goose). RNAcentral describes it as "16S ribosomal RNA". It matches the Rfam family "Bacterial large subunit ribosomal RNA". The record is from RNAcentral. Lineage: Eukaryota; Metazoa; Chordata; Aves; Anseriformes; Anatidae.
AAGCCCCCCCUCUAGCUCAACCACACAAAUAGUACACCAAAACUAAAGAAUUUACUAAACUAAUUAAACUAAAGCAUUUUACAGUCUUAGUAUAGGCGAUAGAAAAGACACUUAGACGCGAUAGAGACCCCAGUACCGUAAGGGAAAGAUGAAAUAGCAGUGAAACAAUCAAAGCGACAGACAGCAAAGAUCAACCCUUGUACCUUUUGCAUCAUGGUUUAGCGAGAACAACCAAGCAAAGUGAACUAAAGUUUGCCCCCCCGAAACCCAAGCGAGCUACUUUCAAGCAGUUAAAGAGAGCGAACCCGUCUCUGUUGCAAAAGAGUGGGAUGACUUGUCAGUAGAGGUGAAAAGCCAACCGAGCUGGGUGAUAGCUGGUUACCUGUGAAACGAAUCUAAGUUCCCCCUUAAUCCUCCCUACCGGACAUCCUGAACCCUAAUGAGAUGAUUAAGAGCUAUUUAAUGGAGGGACAGCUCCAUUAAAAAAGGACACAACCUCGACUAGCGGAUAAUUCUUACUACUGAUCCUACCGUGGGCCCUAAAGCAGCCAUCAAAAAAGAGUGCGUCAAAGCUCCACCACCUAAAAAUACCAAAAUAAGAUGAUUCCCUUAUCACAAACAGGUCAACCUAUGAAUAUAGGAGAAUUAAUGCUAAAAUAAGUAACUCAGGGCCACACCCCUCUAACGGCGCAAGCUUACAUAGAAACAUUAUUAACAGACCUAGACAGAUACAAAAACCCCUACAAGACCACGUAUUAACUAACCCUGUUAACCCGACUCAGGAGCGCCUAUAAGAGCGAUUAAAAUCUGUGAAAGGAACUCGGCAAAUUAAUAAGGCCCGACUGUUUACCAAAAACAUAGCCUUCAGCAAAUUAAACAAGUAUUGAAGGUGAUGCCUGCCCGGUGACUUAGGUUUAACGGCCGCGGUAUCCUAACCGUGCAAAGGUAGCGCAAUCAAUUGUCCCAUAAAUCGAGACUUGUAUGAAUGGCUAAACGAGGUCUUAACUGUCUCUCACAGAUAAUCAGUGAAAUUGAUCUCCCCGUGCAAAAGCGGGGAUGUGAACAUAAGACGAGAAGACCCUGUGGAACUUAAAAAUCAACGACCACCGCGAAUCCUCAAUCAACCCCACUGGGGCCACUACCAUCGCAGAGCCUGGUCGAUAUUUUUCGGUUGGGGCGACCUUGGAGGAGAACAAAUCCUCCAAAAACAAGACCAUACCUCUUUACCUAGAGCUACCCCUCAAAGUGCUAACAGUGACCAGACCCAAUAUAAUUGAUUAAUGGACCAAGCUACCCCAGGGAUAACAGCGCAAUCCCCCUCAAGAGCCCAUAUCGACAGGGGGGUUUACGACCUCGAUGUUGGAUCAGGACAUCCUAAUGGUGCAGCCGCUAUUAAGGGUUCGUUUGUUCAACGAUUAACAGUCCUACGUGAUCUGAGUUCAGACCGGAGCAAUCCAGGUCGGUUUCUAUCUAUGACACACUCUCCCCAGUACGAAAGGACCGGGAAAGUGGGGCCAAUACCACAAGCACGCCCCCCCCCUCUAAGCAGUGAAACCAACUAAACCGUGAAGAGGGCCUUCCCCCACCACUUUCAAUCCUAGAAAAGGACCAG